UGUGUGUCCUGGCAGGGCAGACACCGUGAUCAGGCAGGUGGUUUUCCCAGGGCGAGGCUCAUCCCCUGCACUCCAGGUCUGCUGACCCCUGCGAUUUCCCCAAAUGCGGGAAACUCAACUGCAUAAUUUGUGGUAGUGGGGGACUGCGUUCACGCUCUCCCCUU
RNAcentral lists this small nuclear RNA (164 nucleotides) under Balearica regulorum gibbericeps (East African grey crowned-crane). RNAcentral describes it as "Balearica pavonina gibbericeps U1 spliceosomal RNA". It matches the Rfam family "U1 spliceosomal RNA". Rfam says of the family: U1 is a small nuclear RNA (snRNA) component of the spliceosome (involved in pre-mRNA splicing). Its 5' end forms complementary base pairs with the 5' splice junction, thus defining the 5' donor site of an intron. Lineage: Eukaryota; Metazoa; Chordata; Aves; Gruiformes; Gruidae. The record is from Rfam by way of RNAcentral.